RNAcentral lists this ribosomal RNA (511 nucleotides) under uncultured bacterium. RNAcentral describes it as "bacterial SSU rRNA". It matches the Rfam family "Bacterial small subunit ribosomal RNA", at positions 38 to 536 of the family's 1533-position model. The record is from RNAcentral.
GGUGAACGCUGGCGGCGUGCCUAACACAUGCAAGUCGAGCGGUACAGUUUGAAGCUUCGGUGGAGAGCUGUAUAGCGGCGGACGGGUGAGUAAAGCGUAGGAACGUGCCCCUCGGAGUUGGAUAGCCAUGGGAAACUGUGGGUAAACCGACAUAGACUCGGGAGAGUAAAGGCCGAAAGGCGCCGAGGGAGCGGUCUGCGUCCCAUCAGGUAGUUGGUAGGUAAAGGCCUACCAAGCCGACGACGGGUAACCGGUCUGAGAGGAUGGCCGGUCACAAGGGCACUGAGAGACGGGCCCUACUCCUACGGGAGGCAGCAGUGGGGGAUUUUGGACAAUGGGCGAAAGCCUGAUCCAGCGACGCCGCGUGGAGGACGAAGCCCUUCGGGGUGUAAACUCCUUUUCUCAGGGAAAAGGAUGAUGGUACCUGAGGAAUAAGCCCCGGCUAACUAACGUGCCAGCCAGCCGCGGUAAAUAGAGCGUACUCAGAUAGCACGAGACACAGGAGGUAGAG